GACGAACGCUGGCGGCGUGCUUAACACAUGCAAGUCGAACGGUGAAGCAGAGCUUGCUCUGUGGAUCAGUGGCGAACGGGUGAGUAACACGUGAGUAACCUGCCCUUGACUCUGGGAUAAGCGUUGGAAACGACGUCUAAUACCGGAUACGAGCUGAGACCGCAUGGUCAUCAGUUGGAAAGAUUUUUUGGUCAAGGAUGGACUCGCGGCCUAUCAGCUUGUUGGUGAGGUAAUGGCUCACCAAGGCGACGACGGGUAGCCGGCCUGAGAGGGUGACCGGCCACACUGGGACUGAGACACGGCCCAGACUCCUACGGGAGGCAGCAGUGGGGAAUAUUGCACAAUGGGCGCAAGCCUGAUGCAGCAACGCCGCGUGAGGGAUGACGGCCUUCGGGUUGUAAACCUCUUUUAGUAGGGAAGAAGCGAAAGUGACGGUACCUGCAGAAAAAGCACCGGCUAACUACGUG
This 467-nucleotide ribosomal RNA is filed under the name uncultured bacterium. RNAcentral describes it as "partial 16S ribosomal RNA". It matches the Rfam family "Bacterial small subunit ribosomal RNA", at positions 28 to 507 of the family's 1533-position model. The record is from RNAcentral.